RNAcentral lists this transfer RNA (75 nucleotides) under Rhodospirillum rubrum. RNAcentral describes it as "tRNA-Asn". It matches the Rfam family "tRNA". Rfam says of the family: Transfer RNA (tRNA) molecules are approximately 80 nucleotides in length. Their secondary structure includes four short double-helical elements and three loops (D, anti-codon, and T loops). RNAcentral also lists the same sequence under 3 other names. The record is from RNAcentral. Lineage: Bacteria; Pseudomonadati; Pseudomonadota; Alphaproteobacteria; Rhodospirillales; Rhodospirillaceae.
UCCGGAGUAGCUCAGCGGUAGAGCAAUCGGCUGUUAACCGAUUGGUCGGGGGUUCGAAUCCCUCCUCCGGAGCCA